Small nucleolar RNA from Elaeis guineensis (African oil palm), 106 nucleotides. The record is from RefSeq and is a predicted model, not a curated record. Lineage: Eukaryota; Viridiplantae; Streptophyta; Magnoliopsida; Arecales; Arecaceae.
AUCGUGUGGUGGGGAAACUUAUGGAUGAGGUUUUCAAGUCUCUCCUAUGUUUCAUGAAAUAAUUCUCCAUCCAUCUGAAAAAAACUAGUGAUAGCUUUCCUAAUUU